RNAcentral lists this ribosomal RNA (207 nucleotides) under uncultured bacterium. Its description in RNAcentral is "partial 16S ribosomal RNA". It matches the Rfam family "Bacterial small subunit ribosomal RNA", at positions 568 to 774 of the family's 1533-position model. The record is from RNAcentral.
CGCGUAGGCGGGCUGGACAGUCCGGGGUGAAAUCUUUCGGCUUAACCGGAAAAGGGCCUUGGAUACUGCCAGUCUCGAGGGAGGUAGGGGCAUGUGGAACUGCGGGUGGAGCGGUGAAAUGCGUUGAUAUCCGCAGGAACGCCGGUGGCGAAAGCGACGUGCUGGAUCUCUACUGACGCUGAGGCGCGAAAGCCAGGGGAGCGAACG